UACGGAGGUGGCAAGCGUUGUUCGGAAUUACUGGGCGUAAAGGGCGCGUAGGCGGCUUGGCAAGUCAGAUGUGAAAGCCCCGGGCUUAACUUGGGAAUUGCAUCUGAAACUGCUUUGCUUGAGUCCUGGAGGGGGUAGUGGAAUUCCCAGUGUAGCGGUGAAAUGCGUAGAUAUUGGGAGGAACACCGGCGGCGAAGGCGGCUACCUGGACAGUGACUGACGCUGAGGCGCGAAAGCUAGGGGAGCAAACGGGAUUAGAUACCCCGGUAGUCCUAGCCGUAAACGAUGGGCACUUGGUGUUGGGGGUAUUGAGUCCCCCAGUGUCGUAGUUAACAUGGUAAGUGCCCCGCCUGGGGAGUACGGUCGCAAGACUGAAACUCAAAGGAAUUGACGGGGGCCCGCACAAGCGGUGGAGCAUGUGGUUCAAUUCGACGCAACGUGAAGAACCUUACCGGGGCUCGAACGGUAGUCGCUACCCCUGGAAACGGGGGGUUCUCGUAAGGGACGGCUACCGAGGUGCUGCAUGGCUGUCGUCAGCUCGUGUCGUGAGAUGUUGGGUUAAGUCCCGCAACGAGCGCAACCCUUGCCCUUAGUUGCCACCAGGUAAUGCUGAGCACCCUAAGGGAACUGUCGGCGAAAAGCCGGAGGAAGGUGGGGAUGACGUCAAGUCCUCAUGGCCCUUACGUCCCGGGCUACACACGUGCUACAAUGGCCGGUACAAAGGGUUGCCAACCCGCGAGGGGGAGCUAAUCCCAAAAAGCCGGUCCCAGUCCGGAUUGCAGUCUGCAACUCGACUGCAUGAAGUCGGAAUCGCUAGUAAUCGCAGAUCAGAACGCUGCGGUGAAUACGUUCCCUGGGCCU
RNAcentral lists this ribosomal RNA (861 nucleotides) under uncultured bacterium. RNAcentral's name for it is "SSU rRNA". It matches the Rfam family "Bacterial small subunit ribosomal RNA", at positions 524 to 1381 of the family's 1533-position model. The record is from RNAcentral.